Molecule: ribosomal RNA, 499 nt
Filed under: uncultured Glomeromycotina
Lineage: Eukaryota; Fungi; Glomeromycota
Description: SSU rRNA
Rfam family: Eukaryotic small subunit ribosomal RNA
Source: RNAcentral
CCAAUAGCGUAUAUUAAAGUUGUUGCAGUUAAAAAGCUCGUAGUUGAAUUUCGGGAUCAGUACGCUGGUCGUGCCUUGGUAUGUACUGGUGUCACUGGUUCCUACCUUCUGACGAACCGUCAUGUCAUUAAUUUGGUGUGGCGGGGAAUCAGGACUGUUACUUUGAAAAAAUUAGAGUGUUUAAAGCAGGCUCGCGCUUGAAUACAUUAGCAUGGAAUAAUGAAAUAGGACGUUCGAUCCUAUUUUGUUGGUUUCUAGGAUUGACGUAAUGAUUAAUAGGGAUAGUUGGGGGCAUUAGUAUUCAAUUGUCAGAGGUGAAAUUCUUGGAUUUAUUGAAGACUAACUACUGCGAAAGCAUUUGCCAAGGAUGUUUUCAUUAAUCAAGAACGAAAGUUAGGGGAUCGAAGACGAUCAGAUACCGUCGUAGUCUUAACCAUAAACUAUGCCGACUAGGGAUCGGAUGAUGUUAAUUUUUUAAUGACUCAUUCGGCGCCUUACG